GAGAAAGACAGGAAGAAGGUUAGUGGAGAGAAAGAUAUUGUGAAAUGAAGAGAUAGGGAGUAGAGGUAGACAGAGGCGAGGCGAGGGGAGAAAAAAAAGUGUGUCAAGACAUUGUACAAACCAGUAAUGGAUGGAGAAGUUCACGUGGAGACGGAGAUGGAGUACGUCACUGUUCGGGCGCAUCCUCUCCGGAGAAGCUGGAGGCUGGCGGUGGUCCUGUCUGUUCAGAACGCGCUCGUGGCAGUUUGUUUGGCUGUAAGCUUCUAUUGCUUCUGGC
Long non-coding RNA from Oncorhynchus tshawytscha (Chinook salmon), 277 nucleotides. NCBI's taxonomy places the organism in Eukaryota, Metazoa, Chordata, Actinopteri, Salmoniformes, Salmonidae. The record is from Ensembl.